UCUGCCUUGUCAUUUUAUCCAGAUAAGAGUAUAUGAAGGAGUGAAUAAAAUACUAAAAGGGUGGAAAAGAUCCCAGUAAAAUGUGCUGUAACCAUAUCAUAGGAGAACCCUAAUUGUGGGGAGAAGAUGGGA
This is a long non-coding RNA of Mustela erminea (ermine), 132 nucleotides long. RefSeq lists it as uncharacterized. NCBI's taxonomy places the organism in Eukaryota, Metazoa, Chordata, Mammalia, Carnivora, Mustelidae. The record is from RefSeq and is a predicted model, not a curated record. The transcript is spliced from 3 exons.